CUGGGAUUUAUUUAUAUACUUGAUUUAGGG
This 30-nucleotide non-coding RNA is filed under the name Cricetulus griseus (Chinese hamster). The record is from RNAcentral. Lineage: Eukaryota; Metazoa; Chordata; Mammalia; Rodentia; Cricetidae.